UCCUCGGUAGCUCAGUUGGUAGAGCACUUGGCUGUUAACCAAUAGGUCGCUGGUUCGAGCCCGGCCCGGGGAG
RNAcentral lists this transfer RNA (73 nucleotides) under Ehrlichia minasensis. RNAcentral describes it as "partial Asn tRNA". It matches the Rfam family "tRNA". Rfam says of the family: Transfer RNA (tRNA) molecules are approximately 80 nucleotides in length. Their secondary structure includes four short double-helical elements and three loops (D, anti-codon, and T loops). Further hydrogen bonds mediate the characteristic L-shaped molecular structure. tRNAs have two regions of fundamental functional importance: the anti-codon, which is responsible for specific mRNA codon recognition, and the 3' end, to which the tRNAs corresponding amino acid is attached (by aminoacyl-tRNA synthetases). tRNAs cope with the degeneracy of the genetic code in two manners: having more than one tRNA (with a specific anti-codon) for a particular amino acid; and 'wobble' base-pairing, i.e. permitting non-standard base-pairing at the 3rd anti-codon position. Lineage: Bacteria; Pseudomonadati; Pseudomonadota; Alphaproteobacteria; Rickettsiales; Anaplasmataceae. The record is from RNAcentral.